CCUACGGGAGACAGCAGUGAGGAAUAUUGGUCAAUGGGCGCGAGCCUGAACCAGCCAAGUAGCGUGAAGGAUGACUGCCCUACGGGUUGUAAACUUCUUUUAUAAAGGAGUAAAGUGAGGCACGUGUGCCUUUAUGUCUGUACUUUAUGAAUAAGGAUCGGCUAACUCCGUGCCAGCAGCCGCGGUAAUACGGAGGAUCCGAGCGUUAUCCGGAUUUAUUGGGUUGAAAGGGAGCGUAGAUGGGUUGUUAAGUCAGUUGUGAAAGUUUGCGGAUUAACCGUAAAAUUGCAAUUGAUACUGGCAGUCUUGAGUACAGUUGAGGUAGGCGGAAUUCGUGGUGUAGCGGUGAAAUGCUUAGAUAUCACGAAGAACUCCGAUUGCGAAGGCAGCUUACUAAACUGCCACUGACAUUGAUGCUCGAAAGUGUGGGUAUCAAACAGGAUUAGAUACCCUUGUAGUC
Molecule: ribosomal RNA, 460 nt
Filed under: uncultured bacterium
Lineage: Bacteria
Description: partial 16S ribosomal RNA
Rfam family: Bacterial small subunit ribosomal RNA
Source: RNAcentral